GAUUUUCUAAUGAACGGCUUUAAUUUUCCUGAAAUUGACGUGACCUCAUUGAAAAAGGUAAACUCUCGUUCGUAAAAUUGCUUAUCUUCUCCAGAUAAAGAGUUAAUCAUUUUAUCCAUUACCCUAUCCAAUAUUGGUUUUAUAGAAUCAGGUACAGUAGCGGCUUCAUCUUUAUAAAGAUUAGCUUUCAUGUUCCACAAAAUUUGAUGAGCAAACAACUGUGAUGUUCCUGAGGUUUCGAGAAUGAAACUUUCAGCAUAUCCCAUGCUAUCAUAACGUAAUGAUUGAACAAUUUGAGGAACAUAAAAAAACGUUACAGAAACUGGGUAACUUUCCAUAGAACGCAUGGUGUACUGCAAUAAUUGUGGAUUCCAUUUCACAUUCGGCAUGAACAUUACAGGCCCUGAAACUGGAUACAUUGGCUCCCAGUAUAGAAUAAACUUGCGAUCUAUAGGAAAUUCACCGCUUGGAUAGUGCUCAAACAGAUAUUCCAAAGCAACCUCAUGUUUUACACUAGUAAAGGGAUUUGCAAUGACGAAAUUCAACGCCAUCUGCUUCAAUGGAGCAUUUUGAAAUCUUUUAGGAGCGUAUAACACUAUAUUAGGAGAAACGUUCCAAGCAACCUGUAACAUUUCCAAAGUAAUUGGCGACGAAGCGGCAUCUGAAUCAGGAAUAGGUUCAACCAUCCUGACAUUU
This is a non-coding RNA of Schizosaccharomyces pombe (fission yeast), 696 nucleotides long. The record is from the annotation of a GenBank genome assembly. Lineage: Eukaryota; Fungi; Ascomycota; Schizosaccharomycetes; Schizosaccharomycetales; Schizosaccharomycetaceae.